This 695-nucleotide long non-coding RNA is filed under the name Vigna radiata. RNAcentral describes it as "long non-coding RNA (VRAD_LNC013521)". Lineage: Eukaryota; Viridiplantae; Streptophyta; Magnoliopsida; Fabales; Fabaceae. The record is from RNAcentral.
UGGUUUUGAACCCAAUUAGAGUUCCAACAAGUUUAAAUUGAUGAAUUCAAGUUGCUGAAUGCAUUACUAGAGUGUUAGAAUCACUUGUGCAUGAAUUCACUUUUAAAACCACACAUCUUGCUUUCCUAAUCUGUUUUAGAACCAUUCUAGGAUCUAAAAUUGUGUGCCUCCUUCAUUUCUACACCCUUUUUGAUUGCUUUAAAGAUGUUUGGCUUCCUAAGUGUCAAUUUUAAAACCAAUUUAUGGUGCAUAAUCUGGUGUAGUUAACUAAUGUGUUUGGUGAUUGUUUUGGCUGAUUUCAAUGGUGUUUUGAAGUCCAAUUGGAGCACUCAAUAGUAGAGAGAACACUCAUUUUUGUGAGCUUUGUUGGAAUUUCCCUCUGGUAUUUUGCAAACUCAAAUUCUAUCUUCUUAUACUAUGCCUUUUUCUUGGAAUCUUCCAUAUACAUGGCUCACUUCUAACAAUUGAACGCAUCACACGAGUCCCCUGUCUUAAGUUAUAUGGAUAUGACUAUGAAAGCAAAACAAGAGCAUCUAAUUUAUGUAUGCACAAAAACUCUUUUCCUUGCAUUUAACUGUUUUUAAGAAAUUAGUGAUUCAACUCAGAUGUAGAAUUGGUAAUUGAUACACUCAUACACAAUUAUGAAUAUAAAUUUUAAACGCUGGAAAAUUUGUUCUAGCCUUAUUGAGUUCACC